GACGAACGCUGGCGGCGUGCUUAACACAUGCAAGUCGAACGAAGUGGCGAACGGGUGAGUAACGCGUAAUCAACCUGCCCUUCAGAGGGGGACAACAGUUGGAAACGACUGCUAAUACCGCAUACUGAAGGAGGGGAUUGCGUCUGAUUAGCUAGUUGGAGGGGUAACGGCCCACCAAGGCGAUGAUCAGUAGCCGGUGCGGUGGGAUUGAACGCCAACAUGGGAAUGGGGCACGGCCCAGGCUCCUACGGGAGGCAGCAGUGGGGAAUCUUCCGGAAUGGACGAAAGUCUGACGGGGCAACGCCGGGGGAGUGAUUACGGCCUUCGGGUUGUAAAGCUCUGGUAAUCGGGGCGCGGUACCGGAAUUGAAAGCCAACGCUAACUACGUUCCAGCAGCCGCGGGAAUUC
RNAcentral lists this ribosomal RNA (408 nucleotides) under uncultured bacterium. Its description in RNAcentral is "partial 16S ribosomal RNA". It matches the Rfam family "Bacterial small subunit ribosomal RNA", at positions 28 to 526 of the family's 1533-position model. The record is from RNAcentral.